AAAUCUUUAUAUAGUUUGCAUAAAAAUGGUCUUUUGUUAAAGUGUUCUUUAGUUGGUAUAAAGACGUAUGCACGUGAUUAAUUUCUUACUCAAGAUUGGAUAAUUGGUUCAUGAAUUAUUAAUGAGUUUUUGAACCAAAUAUCAAAUAUUUAUUGACCUCAUCUUGGAUUGCUAAUCAGUUAAAAAUCUGCUAGAUUUUAGCAGAUCGCGUGACCAACGUCUACCAGGAUCUUUUCUCCCCUCGCCUAGAGGAAAGAACCUGGGUACAAUGUUGAAAAUGAGUAAUGCUCUCCCAAACUUCUGGUCCUUCCCUUCAGAUGGAAACUGCAGAAAGCCUUCUAUAUACACGACAAGGGUUGUUGUGGCUGUGUUAAAGAAGAACAAUGUUGUUAUUGCUACGAUAUUUUCCCUGGAGGCCAUUGUCCAGAUUGAUGUUGCCUGUCUUGCACGUGUCCGCCCCGGGACGACCCAGGCCACAACCAAACGAAUGGCAACCGAAGCAGAGCGUUGACGUUGGCGGACUUGAAAGAUGUAAAACCAGAGUAUAUAAGUAGUGCGGUGGUGAAUGGGUGGCGCAGGGAAUACGAGCGAAAAUACUGCCUGCUCACAAUGAGCCCUCGAGGUUCGUAUAGAGUUUAAUGUCUUUAAACAGUGCCUGAAAACAAACGCAAAUUAUAACAAGGCAGUUAUCAAAUAGGCUCGGUCCCAGGCGUAACCUCUGGGACCGAGUCUAGUUAUCAAGCUGAUAUCAGAUGUGUUAACACUGCUUGUUCUGGAGCACAAGUAUAAGGUUGACGACAGUGACAGACUUGCUACAAGUUGUUGUAACAAGACUAAUACAGGCAGUUUGCAACAAGUUGCUACGAGCUUGUUGUCAAUUAGCCCAGCGAGCAGGUUAGUACUAGUUGUCAUCAACUUGUUAACAACUUAUUACGUACAGACGUGAUGCUUUUGAUGUUAUUCUGAGUGUACAUCCACAUCGGGCAAGCUUGAAAAAUAUGCCUGGCCACGGUGGGAAUCGAACCUACGACCUUUGGAACACUAAACAGCUUGCUGCAAGUCUAUAUUUGCCUCAUUAACCAUGUUACAAGAUGAUAACAACUUGUUUUAGACUUGUCAACAAUUUGAAACAAGAAGCACAGUGCUUUAUCAGAUAUAAAACACUCGCGCUGUGCUUUCGUGUUUUAUAUCUGAUAAAUCAUUCCUGUUCGUGUUUUAAAUAUAGUGCUUAAUGUUGUAUACUCGGGUCUGAUAGUACAAAUGAUUCCUCCAGGUAUGUCUGUGAUAGUGAAGCAACCAACAACAGCAGUUCAGAUAGAAGACGACCACGAUUUCGGAAACAAACUGAAACCGAGCGAUAUUAAACUAUCGUCAGCUAUGGCAAUGUCUGCCGCGGCUGUAUCGCCGUAUCUUGGAAAAAAUGAAGAAAGCGAAAGACAGUUAACACAUAUUUUGACCGUUUGUGGCAUAGAAAUGGCUGCAAAUAUUGUGUACGAUAUGGACAAUGAAAGAAAUGAGCAUUGUUGUGGACCGGUAAGAUCAGGGACGUCGGAACUGGAGGGGCAGGAGGGGCAGCUGCCCCUCCUACCUUUUGCUAGGGGGAGCAAGGGGGGCAGAAGUGCCCUUUUAGUUGUAAAAUACUACCUGAUAAAUCACAUUUCCAGUGAUGCUUUUUCGGGCAAAAUCAUGAGAUUCAGGUAAUUAAUAGGCCCAGAUUUAAUUUACAAAAAUAAGUGUGAAUUUGGAAAAGAAUGAGGUUAAUUUACAAAAAUUUUUAAAAAUUUUUGGAUUUUAGAAAAAAAUUUUGGAUAAAUGGGUAAAAUUUGCCGAUGUCCGGAAAAAUUUUUUUACGUCACGAAAAAUUUUGGUAUGUCCUGAAAAAAUUUUUGACCCCUAAAAUGGUACACUGAUCGAAUUUUUUUGGCGACGGGAGUGGGGGGGGAGAUGGGGGAAAGGUCGCCCAAAAAAAAUUCAAUUUCAGGUAAAUUUCGAACUUUUGGUCUAUAGAGGUGCCCUUUGGUGUACGUCUGCCCCCCUUUGCCUUUUUAUCGUUCCGGCGUCCCUGGGUAAGAUUUUGAAAAUGCCAAUGAAAAUUACCCGUGAUGUGAUCUAUUUUCCAAGCGCAAAAUGCAAAUAUAUGAAAUAAUAUACCGACAUGACAUAUUAUACACUAUUUUGUUAAGUAUGAAUAAUUUGAGAAGUAUAUUUGCUGAUGGCAUCAAUUUUAUAUUACGUUUUUGUUGUAGUUUUGUUUAUAUGCUGUAAAUUUCAUCAUAUUAGUUCUAAUCGCUGUUGGUGGAGUUUUUGGAGUUUUGGAAAUUACGAAAUCGUCUUUCCUAGUCUCGUCACUGCCAGUGGUCAUAACUUCAUGUAUCGUGGGAG
Molecule: non-coding RNA, 2382 nt
Organism: Paramuricea clavata
Lineage: Eukaryota; Metazoa; Cnidaria; Anthozoa; Malacalcyonacea; Plexauridae
Source: the annotation of a GenBank genome assembly